GACGAACGCUGGCGGCGUGCUUAACACAUGCAAGUCGAACGGAAAGGCCCUUCUUUUGUGGGGUGCUCGAGUGGCGAACGGGUGAGUAACACGUGAGUAACCUGCCCUUGACUUUGGGAUAACUUCAGGAAACUGGGGCUAAUACCGGAUAGGAGCUCCUGCUGCAUGGUGGGGGUUGGAAAGUUUCGGCGGUUGGGGAUGGACUCGCGGCUUAUCAGCUUGUUGGUGGGGUAGUGGCUUACCAAGGCUUUGACGGGUAGCCGGCCUGAGAGGGUGACCGGACACAUUGGGACUGAGAUACGGACCAGACUCCUACGGGAGGCAGCAGUGGGGAAUAUUGCAAAAUGGGCGGAAGCCUGAAGCAGCAACGACGCGUGCGGGAUGACGGCCUUCGGGUUGUAAACCGCUUUAGCCUGUGACGAAGCGUGAGUGACGGUAAUGGGUAAAGAAGCACAGGCUAACUACGUG
RNAcentral lists this ribosomal RNA (468 nucleotides) under uncultured bacterium. Its description in RNAcentral is "partial 16S ribosomal RNA". It matches the Rfam family "Bacterial small subunit ribosomal RNA", at positions 28 to 507 of the family's 1533-position model. The record is from RNAcentral.